GCAGACACAUUCCAGCCAAUCAGCGGCAGACCCUCCCUCCCAGACCCUCCCACCUCCUGGACAGCAUCCAUUUUACAUUCAUUGUGAAGCUGCAUUCUUAGUGAGCUGUCCAGGAGGUGGGAGGGUCUGGGAGGGAGGGUCUGCUGCUGAUUGGCUGGAAUGUGUCUG
Molecule: microRNA precursor, 168 nt
Filed under: Pelobates cultripes (western spadefoot toad)
Lineage: Eukaryota; Metazoa; Chordata; Amphibia; Anura; Pelobatidae
Source: RNAcentral